RNAcentral lists this ribosomal RNA (253 nucleotides) under uncultured bacterium. RNAcentral describes it as "partial 16S ribosomal RNA". It matches the Rfam family "Bacterial small subunit ribosomal RNA", at positions 524 to 776 of the family's 1533-position model. The record is from RNAcentral.
UACGAAGGGGGCUAGCGUUGUUCGGAAUUACUGGGCGUAAAGCGCACGUAGGCGGACUAUUAAGUCAGGGGUGAAAUCCUGGAGCUCAACUCCAGAACUGCCUUCGAUACUGAGAGUCUCGAGUCCGGGAGAGGUGAGUGGAACUGCGAGUGUAGAGGUGAAAUUCGUAGAUAUUCGCAAGAACACCAGUGGCGAAGGCGGCUCACUGGCCCGGUACUGACGCUGAGGUGCGAAAGCGUGGGGAGCAAACAGG